UCAAGUCACCUCCCUCUUUGUUAAUUAAUUCAAAAGUAUCAGAGUACUCUGUUUUAGCCUGGAGACACUAUGUCUUGGAGAAAACCUUGGAGUUUAUAUCAAGUGCCAACUGCCAAAUACUCUACUAAAAAUUUUGUUAUCCUUAUGGAUCCACAUUUUGCUUUCUAGUCAAAGCACGAAAUUUAAAAGUGAAUAAUUAAGUUUGAGCAGUUCUAACUUAACCACACACAAUGAGAUGCUCAUCCUUUCAAGAUAGAUACGAAUUUAAACUUGCAGCUUCCUGGAAGUGGCCACCGAAAGUGCAUCAGACAAAAAAGAAAAGGAAUCACAAGCUCUAAUUCUAUAA
This 346-nucleotide long non-coding RNA is filed under the name Jatropha curcas. RNAcentral's name for it is "long non-coding RNA (JCUR_LNC002895)". Lineage: Eukaryota; Viridiplantae; Streptophyta; Magnoliopsida; Malpighiales; Euphorbiaceae. The record is from RNAcentral.